This is an RNA transcript of Arvicanthis niloticus (Nile rat), 1707 nucleotides long. RefSeq lists it as uncharacterized. The record is from RefSeq and is a predicted model, not a curated record. NCBI's taxonomy places the organism in Eukaryota, Metazoa, Chordata, Mammalia, Rodentia, Muridae.
ACUGAGCGACGCGGCGGCCGCAGCGAUGGGCAGUGAGCCUGCGGGGGAGCCGACGGGUCCUGAGGAGCACUUGGGGGAGACGGCAGCGGGGACCCGGCCUCAACCUUGAGCUGCGGCGGGGGCGCGCGAGUCCGGCGCACCAAGCGAGCCGCUGGCCACUUCUAGGGGGGCCCUGAGGGGCGAGCGGCCCGUGUGGCCGGCAUCCCGAUCCCGGGGCUCCGUGACUUGGCCCUGAGCAUCUCCGGGGUCAAGGAGUGUCUUCAGAGGCCGCCCGGGGCCCAGCGCUGCCGCCACCGAGCCCCGGGGCGCCCCCUGGAUGGCCAAGUUGCCCCUUCGCCGGCCGCCCAGGCGCCGCAGCGGCUGAGGUCGCUGGGAUCGCCCGGCCGCCGCCCCCAUCGCCCGCCCCUGCAUGCCCGGCGCCCGGGUCGCAGCCCAUCUAGACGCUCUGGGCCCCCUGGUCUCCUACGUGCAGCCACAGCUGCUGCCCUCUAUGUUCUACGUGGGCCUGUUCUUCGUCAAUGUGCUGAUCCUCUACUACGCCUUCCUCAUGGAAUACAUCGUUCUCAAUGUGGGCCUCGUCUUCCUGCCCGAGGACUUGGACCAGGCGCUGGUGGACCUCGGCGUUCUCUCAGACCCUGGCUCUGGCCUUUACGAUGCCGAUUCAGAGCUCGACGUCUUCGAUGGAUAUUUGGAAUAAGGUCUUGAUUACUGUUCCCCACUUGCCUUCCACCUUCCGCAACUCUUGGCCUGGACCAGCCGCCCGUAUCAUGCCGCUGCCACUGGUUGGGGGCACCAUCUGGACAGGGAUGGGACCCCAGGAAGAGGCCCGCAUAGCCAGUCUUGGGAAUACCAUUUAACUCCACAUGUUGGUGGCCUCUUUUAUAAAACAGGGGUAAUGAAAAUCUGCCUUGUCGAGAGGACAGAGAGUUGGACCUCCCUGCAUGGUAGCUGGUCCAUGAACAUCAACCACUGUUGUAGACAGCUGCCAGGGAGGUGGCCAGAUUGCUACCACACCCGUGGCCGUGAGCCAGGUGGCCUCCCGCUGCACAGCCUGCCUCUAGCACAGAGAUCCCAGAUGUCUGCAGAGCUGGGCAAUUUUGGGCCUGCUUGUGCCAACACCCGGGUUCCUGCUCCAACCCAGGCGUCUGCCAAGAGAAGUGAGGACUCAGUGCCAGGAUGGGGAGUUGCCAGGACCUCCGAAGGCCUCGCCUGCCACCUGGCUCUCCACUGUCCUGGAUCUUGCUUGUGACUCGACACCUUUGUGAUGGAUGUUUACAGGAACCCAACCAGAUGUCACCUCUCUGCACUUCACCCCCAGCUGCACCUGCCUCCCCCACUUAACCUCUGGGAAGGACAUGGAGAGCUGAAGUGGUAAAGGGACUCAUAUGUAGGCUGCUCCGUCAGCGUCGUGUGGUGCCAGGUCACCUUAAGCCUGGGAAGACUUCAGACCCAAGACUGUGGAUCAUAGUUUCAGGGAGUCACUCUGAAGAGGGCUAUGCCAGGGCCCAGGCAGGGUUUAACCUCUCCAGGUUGACAGAACUGAGAUACUGCACUGGAGAAAGCCAUGCUGUCUCUGGCUAGAAAUCUAUUUUUGGAAGUGUGAGUGGUGUGCAAAGUGUGAAUGAUGUCGGUCCUUGAUUUCCAUAAACCUGUCUGUAAAAGCAAUACUUAGAGGCUGACUUAUUUCAUUAAAAAAAUGUAAGCAAC